Molecule: ribosomal RNA, 497 nt
Filed under: uncultured bacterium
Lineage: Bacteria
Description: partial 16S ribosomal RNA
Rfam family: Bacterial small subunit ribosomal RNA
Source: RNAcentral
GAUGAACGCUGGCGGCGUGCCUAAUACAUGCAAGUCGAGCGAACAGACGAGGAGCUUGCUCCUUUGACGUUAGCGGCGGACGGGUGAGUAACACGUGGAUAACCUACCUAUAAGACUGGGAUAACUUCGGGAAACCGGAGCUAAUACCGGAUAAUAUAUUGAACCGCAUGGUUCAAUAGUGAAAGAUGGUUUUGCUGUCACUUAUAGAUGGAUCCGCGCCGUAUUAGCUAGUUGGUAAGGUAACGGCUUACCAAGGCAACGAUGCGUAGCCGACCUGAGAGGGUGAUCGGCCACACUGGAACUGAGACACGGUCCAGACUCCUACGGGAGGCAGCAGUAGGGAAUCUUCCGCAAUGGGCGAAAGCCUGACGGAGCAACGCCGCGUGAGUGAUGAAGGUCUUCGGAUCGUAAAACUCUGUUAUUAGGGAAGAACAAAUGUGUAAGUAACUGUGCACGUCUUGACGGUACCUAAUCAGAAAGCCACGGCUAACUACGUG